Molecule: ribosomal RNA, 344 nt
Filed under: uncultured bacterium
Lineage: Bacteria
Description: bacterial SSU rRNA
Rfam family: Bacterial small subunit ribosomal RNA
Source: RNAcentral
GAUGAACGCUAGCGGCAGGCCUAAUACAUGCAAGUCAAGGGGUAGCAAUACACCGGCGGACGGGUGCGUAACGCGUACACAACAUACCUUUAAGCGGGGGAUAGCAUCGGGAAACUGGUGGUAAUACCCCAUAGUAUUGCGAUCCGGCAUUGGGUUGCAAUUAAAGUUCCGGCGCUUAGAGAUUGGUGUGCGUCUGAUUAGCUAGUUGGCGGGGUAACGGCCCACCAAGGCGACGAUCAGUAGGGGGUGUGAGAGCAUGACCCCCCCACAUGGGUACUGAGACACGGACCCAACUCCUACGGGAGGCAGCAGUAAGGAAUAUUGGACAAGUGGGACGGAACGCC